RNAcentral lists this ribosomal RNA (1949 nucleotides) under Bacteroidales bacterium. RNAcentral describes it as "partial 23S ribosomal RNA". It matches the Rfam family "Bacterial large subunit ribosomal RNA", at positions 1 to 1961 of the family's 2925-position model. Lineage: Bacteria; Pseudomonadati; Bacteroidota; Bacteroidia; Bacteroidales. The record is from RNAcentral.
GAGAAAUUAAAUAAGUGCGUAUGGGGGAUGCCUUGGCUCUUAUUGGCGAAGAAGGACGUGACAAGCUGCGAAAAGGCACGGUAAGGAGCAAAUAUCCGCUGACCCGUGCAUCUCCGAAUGGGACAACCCGGUGCAUUGAAGAUGCAUCAUUCUGUUGAAUAAACGGAAAGCGAACGCAGGGAACUGAAACAUCUAAGUACCUGCAGGAAAAUAAAAUAACAAUGAUUCCGCAAGUAGUGGCGAGCGAACGCGGAGCAGCCCAAACCAUAUACGUUACGGCGUUUAUGGGGUUGAAGGACUGCGAGAUACGUAAAAAUUAUAUAGAAGAAUGUUUUGGAAAAAACAGCCGCAGAGUGUGAAAGCCGCGUAUUUGAAAUAUAAUUGAACGUUAGCAGUAUCCUGAGUAAGGCGGGACCAGAGAAAUCCUGUCUGAAACUGCCGGUACCAUCCGGUAAGGCUAAAUACACAUAAGAGACCGAUAGUGAACCAGUACCGUGAGGGAAAGGUGAAAAGUACCGUGAACAACGGGGUGCAAUAGAACCUGAAACCGUGCGCAUACAAGCGGUCGGAGCGGAAAUAUUCCGUGACGGCGUGCCUUUUGCAUAAUGAGCCUACGAGUUACAAUUGAUAGCGAGGUUAAGUGCUGGAAGCACGCAGCCGGAGCGAAAGCGAGUCUGAAGAGGGCGUAUAGUUAUUGGUUGUAGACGCGAAACUUUGUGAUCUACCCUUGAGCAGGUUGAAGGUUGGGUAACACUAACUGGAGGACCGAACUGUCUGACGUUGAAAAGUCUCCGGAUGACUUGAGGGUAGGGGUGAAAGGCUAAUCAAACUGAGAGAUAGCUCGUACUCCCCGAAAUGUUUUUAGGAACAGCCUUGUGGAGAGUAUUGUAGAGGUAGAGCUACUGAUAGGAUGCGGGGGUUUCAACGCCUACCAAAUCCUGACAAACUCCGAAUGCUACAAUAUAUACACAGGAGUGAGCGCGCGGGUGCUAAUGUCCACGCGCGAGAGGGAAAGAACCCGGACUGCCAGCUAAGGUCCCGAAAUGAUAGUUAAGUUGAAAAAACGAGGUUCGAUUGCAUAGACAGCUAGGAUGUUGGCUUGGAAGCAGCCAUACAUUUAAAGAGUGCGUAACAGCUCACUAGUCGAGCGAUUGAGCGUGGAUAAUAAACGGGCAUCAAACUAUCUACCGAAGCUACAGACUGACAUAUAGUUAUGUCAUUGGUAGGGGAGCAAUCUUAACAGCGCUGAAGGUAAAGAGAUAACUCAUACUGGAGCGUUAAGAUAAGCAGAUGUAGGCAUAAGUAACGAUAAUGCGGGCGAGAAACCCGCACUCCGAAAGACCAAGGUUUCCUGAUCAACGCUAAUCGGAUCAGGGUAAGUCGGGUCCUAAGGCGCAACCGAAAGGUGCAGUCGAUGGACAGCCGGUUAAUAUUCCGGCACUUGCACAAGAGUGAAGUAAGGACGGAGGAAGCAGCCAACUGCGUACUGACGGAAUAGUACGUUGAAGAGGGUAGCCGUAGAUCCAGCAGGCAAAUCCGCUGGUGAGGUGAACUUGAUAGUACCGCGAGGCUUCGGCUGAGUGGAUAAUGUUGGUGGGCUAUACUUCCAAGAAAAAUUGCUAACGCUAAUCGAAAUGCAACCCGUACCGUAAACCGACACAGGUGGUCGAGGAUAGUAUCCAAAGGAGCUCGAGUGAUUCAUGGCUAAGGAACUAGGCAAAUUAACCCCGUAACUUCGGGAAAAGGGGUACUCAAGCAAUUGAGUCGCAGAGAAAUGGCCCUGGCGACUGUUUAACAAAAACACAUGGCUUUGCAAAAUCGCAAGAUGAAGUAUAAGGCCUGACACCUGCCCGGUGCUGGAAGGUUAAGAGGAGAUGUCAUCGCAAGAGAAGCAUUGAAUUGAAGCCCCAGUAAACGGCGGCCGUAACUAUAACGGUCCUAAGGUAGCG